This is a non-coding RNA of Phalacrocorax carbo (great cormorant), 7143 nucleotides long. The record is from RefSeq and is a predicted model, not a curated record. Lineage: Eukaryota; Metazoa; Chordata; Aves; Suliformes; Phalacrocoracidae.
ACAUCGGCUAGUUCCGUAACUCUCCUCCCCCCCCCGCCGGCCGGCCCGCCUCGUCCUCCUCUCCCGAUCGCUACCUGGCUUCGGAAAACAUCGGUUAUUUCCGUAGAGAUGUUUCCAGGCUCCCGUCGGGGUGGCGCUGCGCUCGGAAACGCUCGGGUAUUUCCGUGACCUGCUCAGCUGGCGGCUCGGAUGCGCUGCCGGUGGGAGCAGUCGUUAGCCGGCCGCGCCCGGCUGAUUGGUCGAGGGACGCGCCGGCCCGGGCCGAGGGGAGCCGGGGCACAGCCGCCUUUCUCGGUGGGAGCCGACGGGGCAGGAACGCCAGGCAGCGUGCAGAAGGCUGUUGGUGAGGGGACUUCAGGGAGCAGUGGCAGAGCUCAGGGAGGGGAGCGGAGGAUGACUCAGCAGGGUGCUGUUCUUCAGGGUUACAAUAAUGAGCUAGUGAAAUGCAUUGAAGACUUGUGUAUGCAAAAAGAAGAGCUGAACAAACAAAUACAGCAAGCAGAAGAGGAAAAAAAUAAACUCCAGCAUGAAAUCCAAGUCCUGAGUGAACAGCUGGAGUGUGUGUGUGAAAACCUGGCCCAAAAGGUAGCUUCACGGAAUGAGCUUGAUAAAAUUCUUGCUGAAACUGAAGCUGCUUACAUGAAGAUUUUGGAUAGCUCUAGAACUUUGCUUAAUGUCCUGAAGAAGGAAGUGGGAAGCUUAAAGCAUACACCAGAACUGAAAACCAAUGUAACGUGAAACAGUCAAAUGUUUGGACUCCACAGUGCUAAAAUUCCACUAGAGAUGCUUACCCUUCAGUUCAUGUACCUCCUCACAUGCAGUGUUUGCUAAUCACCUCACAGGAAUGGAGGUUUGGUCCAUAUCGGAGGAAAACAGGUACCUGUAGACAGAGAUCAUGUUCAGGAAAAGCAUUUGAGAAGAGUCAUAUCAGCCUCCCUCUGGAGGUAAGAUUGAUUGUGAUUCCACUGACUGUGAUGGGAGCUUUGGUUUCACCUCACUUCAAGGCCUAUGAAGUUAUGCGGGAUGACGACUUCUCUCUGCUUACCACCACGCGUAUUUUGUAGACUAUAUGUACUUGGCCUAGGAGGAUUUGUAAUGGUGUUGAGUGUUCUUGUUAAUUAUCUUCUUAGAGGCAGACACGCAGCUUCCUGCAGUGCCCAGCCUAAAUCGAGAAGAUGGAAGUGUUAGGUGGAGACUGUAAAACAAAGUAAGAGGUCAAACAGUUACUUUUAAACAUUUUUCAAAGUGUGAUACCAAAUAGACUGGUCAUAGAGCAUUUUAAAGCUAAAACUUCAUAGGUGUUAUUUUUUUGAGCUUCACACGUGUAGGUUCUCAUGCACCAGUGGGAGUUCCUUGAGAACUUGAGGUUUUCCAUUAAUACGCUGUAUAUGGGAGCACUUUUAAAUUAUUAUUUCCUUCAUAGUCUGUGACAGAUCUGUAACUUACAAUUAUUUUUUUAAACCACUCCAUAUAGUUUUUUUAGUUGGAGUAAAAAAAAUAGCUAAUUUCUUUCCUAAAUGCUUUCAAAUCUCCCUAUCUGUAUUCAGAAUUAGAUCAAAUUAUUACUUGUAGUAGUCUCUUUUUAAUGUUAUAUGGUUAUUAAAAAGUUGAUAUAACUUAGAGAUCCAUUCUGAUCGGGCACGUUCUCAGUUCCAGUGACAAAUCCUUUUAGUAUUCUUCAAGUUUUAAAUUUUUUGUGCGUUUUUUUAAUGUGGUUGGUAUUCAGGGCUGAAAAAUAUUCUGCCAGAUGUCUGAAAACAAAAAAACUAGCAGUAAUUCUUCAUAUGUUUAUGCAGUUGUUCAGUAACAGAAAUCCUGCUGGAGAUCUGUUCUCACUUCUUACUGUCCAAGAGUAAACGGGAUUACUUGCUGUAAUUGAUGAAUCCAAGGUGCUUUUCAUUAAAUACUGGUCCUUCCUCAAGAAUUGUUGCUAGCAUGAAGGGAAUGGAUACUUCAUCGGGGGUAGGGGUGGGGGAGGGCAUUGGGCAAAAUAGGAGCUGCCUUUUUGGUAGGGACCACCCACCUAUGGAAAGAGAGGAGCAUCUUUUUAGCGUGGCUCACGGUGAAGGGCUGUGAGACAAUUCAAACCAUGGGGUUACAAUGGUUGUAAGGUCCACUGAAGCAAGAUGAAAAAAAGAAAACCCAGUCCAUGCUGUCAGUCACAAGGAAUGUGAUACAUGAUCACAAUCAGGUUUUUAAACACAGGAGCUCAGGUACAGCUGGAAGCAGGUAGCUGCUGCAGUACUGGGCUCAGCAAGGGUUAAGUUGCCCUGCCAAAAAGCAAUUGACCAUGUGGACACACCUGUGAAUUCUUGUGCGCACAGGAGUUACUGGACUUGCUAGAAAAACAUAACCUCUUUGUGUUCUUGAAACUCAAGGAAUUCUGUCUUUUAGUGACGUGCAACAUUAGAUAUGACUCCAUGAAAAGGAUAUUUGUUUAAAAUCCUAUUUCCUUUAUGGGCUUUUCUCUGAAGUCUAAAGUGGGUUUGCUUUACAUUUGAGUUGUUCAAGUUCAAAAUCCCGUGGCCAAGGGGAAACCUACAGAUACCCAAGUUCCACUGAAGCCCACAAGUCUCUAAGUGGUUUGUAUUCACUGUGUAGUGCACCAAGUUCCUGGACAAAUGCUGUCUAAUCCUUCAGUUGAGUUGCAAGUCUUGUGGCUCCUGCUAGUAGUUAAAAUAAUUUGCAACAAGUGUUGCUUGUUCAAUGUGGAAUGUACUUUCUGGUUUUUUGUUUGUUUGUUUUUUAAUGAAGUAUUCCAUUGAAGCUUCCUGUGGCACUCUGCCAUACACAUUCAUGUUGUGCAUGUGAAUGUAUGGGUUUUCUUUGGGAAUGUCGAAAAGAAACCUCUACAACAGCAAUUUAACUGAAACAAGAUUUGGUUUUAUGUCAUGCUGGUUUUAUUUUUAAGCGUUUUAAAAUGCUGAGUAUAUACGUAUAUACACACACAUAUGUAUUUAUACAGGAUAUAUAAACAAGUGCUUACAAUCAACAGAUCACAAAGUACCUUACAGAGAAUCUUAAUAUCUUUAUCCCCCUCGACAGACAGAGACACUUGAUAAUAAUCUGGCCCAAAUCAGGGACAGAUCUGGGAAUGGAGGCUUUGCUUUUUCAGCCUCAGCUGAAUGCUCUGGCUUGGACUGCUUCCCAGGGAUUCACAUCCUGUUUGACAUAAACCAACUGGAUUAUGCAUUCCCAACCUAUGUGUUGGGGGAAGGGAUAGAUAUAACUGACUAGUUGCAUACUUUUUGCUAUUACUCACUUAAAAUCGCAUGCAGCGUCACGAUGAUAUUUACAAGUAUUACUAAUUUCUGCAUGGAUACACCCCUCAUGACAAAGUAUCCCAGCUCCAGAGAAGCCACUCUGACUUCCCAGACCUGCUCUGUCCAAGCCCCUACUCACAGGUAUCUGGGGGCUGACUGUAGGAGAUGGGUCGAAGGAACAGAAAUAACUUUCAAUGAUAGUUGCUAAUUAAUUACCUUGCACAAGCCUAACCUUAUUCAGAUAGCUUGUCUUUACAAACCCUGCUGUUUUUUUCUCAUUUUCAUCAGGCUUCUUAUUACCUUAUCCUGGUCUAUGUAAGACCACCAGGUAUUUGUACCAACACCCAUUAAGGGUUUUCUAGGCAUUGAGGCUCCUUGGUGUUUAAAUACAGUGGAGGAUCUGACUUCUUGUCCAUCUAUAAGGGCAUAUAGACCACAUGACAGCAUUCUGACCACAUAUGAUAGCAACAGGCUGUGUGGCAACCAUAUUCCACCACAGCUCAUUUUGGGGUCGUGGAAUUGAAGUAGCAUGGCAAGUCAGGAGCUUAGAGAAAUAGAUAAAUAGGGCUUUUCUAUAGGGAAGAGAAGCUGGCUCUAUGAGUUCAGAUUAAAAACUGCUUUAAUCUAGGACAGGUGACACCUGACAGCAGCGUUCUUUUAUUUGUUGUAUCACAAUGAACAUAUACAUGUUAAAAUACAUAUAUAAAAAUAUACAAAGUACUUAAAGUAUAGAGUGUUCUUGCUAGAAACCUGUCUAGUAUUUCAGUAGUCUGCCAUUAAAAAGGACAACUUAAAUAGGCUGGUCAUUAACAACUACAUUAGGUUGUGCACCCUCUGCUUUCAGUAGUCCCCACAGUCUUGCUACUCUAUAAACCCUCAUUUGUAGCCCUGUUGUCGUCUUCCUGCUGCAGCAGCCUUUGUUGCCCCUAUUUCCUAGCCCUUUGCUUACCGUGUUUUUGGUUAUGCUAAGCUGCUGACCAGAAACACGUUGCCCUUCUGCCAUGUGGUGGGUCGGAAAUACUUCCAGUAUCUUCAUAUUGUCCAGACAUGGUCUAGCACACUUGGAAAAAUUGUUUGCAAAGAUAAACACAUUUCGGUUUGACAGAUCCACAGAAGUUAUGGUUGGGCUGGGUUAAGAAUAUUAUAUAGUUGGGAAACAACAGACACCUGAUCUGAGAGGAGUUUCAUCCUAUGAAAACCCCAUCCUAAAAGACUUUUAUGUUGAAGGGAUGGAUGGAUGGAACAUGACAUUCCUGAUAUGCUGUGGAGAGUAAAGGACAGAAGUUUGUUUGUCAAUGAGAAUAUCCUUGUCCCAGCAAAUGCAGACUUUGUUCAUAGUCUUCUGCAAAUAAAGGUCUAUAUGGGAUGCUGUAAUUUAAUUAGUAUUAAGGCUAUGUGCAGAGUGACUUGAAUUUGUUCCAGAAAUGGUUGCAGUGUUUUUGAGAAAAGAUUAUAACUUGAAAUUAAAAAGAGGAAAACAGAAUAUAAUGCUGGAGUUUGCAGAUAAUGAUCUAAUUGAGGAAGCUGAUAUAGGUCAGCUAUGUAGCUCUUCAGAGCUCUGAACAUGACCUAUAUUGCAAAAUAAUAAACACGUGCUAAGACAGAGUGCCGUAUGCUCACAGUAAAGCUACUUGUAAAAAGUUAUGUCAAGACUUCGUAUGUAUUCAGCAGUUUUCUUUGUAAUCCUGCUCUAUUUUACAAACUAACACAUUCCCCAGUGAGAUGCAGUAGAGAUAAACGUUGAAGAUGCCUUCAUCUGCAGAGGGGAGGGAGAGGCAAUUAAAAGCUGCAUGCUGUGAAAUCUCUGGGUACCAGCAGUGUCUGCACAGACUUUUAUAACACUUUAAGGAACAAUGGGUUUUCCGCUGUCUGGGGUGACUGAAUACAAACCGUUUUUGAAAGAGGACAGUAGCUCAGUUAUUUUCACACCAGCUAAAAUCCUGCUGGUUUGCAUAAAGGUUUCUAUUUACUGAUACCAAAGUUCUGGUGACAAACUGGCUUCUCCAGAGCAGACAAAUUCUAUUUUCUUUUAUCAGUACACACCAUUUCAUGUCUGACAAAGAAAGGGCAGACUUCUGAUAAUGUGGUGAAAGAACCUGGGGCAGAGCAGUGCCUGGUACUGGCCUCCAUCAGAGGAGGAAAAGCACAAAAGCACAAAAAUGCUAGCCUUGAUCUGAACUGAGCAGGGUUGCUUGCAAAAGUAGCAAGUGAGGAAGCUUUUUCCUUUUUUUAUUUGCUCCCUCCUACGUCAUUAUUGGGCUGAGUAGGGAAAGAAUUAUCUUUCUCUUUAAAGAUAUGAAUAAUAAUAAAUGGGUUAAUCUGCUCCAGAAAAAUGCUAAUUCCACAUGGGAGGCAGCUAAAGCCGCCCCAUGAGACCUCUACUUUUUUUCCUUCAGAAAAAAAUUUUCAUCAUGCAAAUUCUAAAGGCCACCAGCCAUUGGAGAGGAAAGAGAAACAGCAAAACGCUGUGUUUGCUUAUCAUUGUGGACCAAUUAUUCUUCCAGCAGCUGUUCUACUGUGUGUAGUUUCUUGGUUGCAAGUACUGUCUUUCUAAAACAUGGAUUUUUUUUGUCUGAGACCUGUUCAGUUUAAAAUACAUUCUUGUAUUUGAGAUGAGCUUAAAGCAGUGCACAUAGUGGUGCUUAUACAGGUAUGAAAUUUGUCUAUAGCUGUUAAAAGUCCUUUUCACUGGCUUAGUAUGCGAUGCGUUAUUAUACCAUGUAUUAUUACACUGAUGUAGCUAGAGUGAAGCUCAGUUUUCAGGCAUUAGGAUGACCCUUUUGACUUGGAUUGUGCCAAUAUGGAUUCUGUCAUUUCAAGUGUUCGUGAAUUCAUCAGUGGCCAAACACAACAAGGUGUAACUUCACUUCUGUGGACUUAAAUCUUUCCAUAUUGCCUUGCGUGAAUAUUUUUGUUUUAAAUAACUUCUGCAUUUGGUUAUUCAGUGGGAAAAAAGCCAAAUGUUUUAAAGACGUAUCAAAAAUCAUUUGUUUUGGCUAAUAGUACGUUUCCUGGAUAACCUCAUCCAGGAGAGAUUUUAAGUGUGGUACCUGUUCAGAGCCUGGACCCUCAGAGCACAGCAUAACCUCCAUUUCCCAAGUCCAUCAUUCCCACCACACAUGAACAAGGCAGGCAGUUUUGCAAGGACCAUGGGACAAGGGGCCAUCCUGUGGGUGCUGCUGGAGAGCAGGUGAUUAAACAAAUGAAGGGAAAUCAUGCUGUACAAAAACACCCCAGGCAGGCUCACACUGAGGCAGUCAGAAGGACUUGGGAGUCUCUUCUCUGUUUCUACUCUGGGUGAAGUGUAAAUAAAAGUAAAUAUAUGUGUGUAUACAUGUGCUGCUCAAGCUACUUGAUGCUACCUCUGCUACAUUGGGAUUCUGUUACAUUGGGAAGUUGUGAUUUAAUUUGUAGCUAAAAUCAUCUCGUUAGCAUGAGCAAGACCCCUAAAACCAACCGAAGUAGUUGUGCAGUUACCGGUUUUCAGAGUGUUGAAUUUCUACAUCUGUAACUUCUGAUUCUAGUGCUGUAUCCCUUAUGGUAGUAAAGAAGGUAGUGAAACUAAUUUUAAAAUUCUGGAAUUAAUUUUAAGAUAAUACUAAGAAUUUAAUAAGUGCCCAAGAGCAUCUUAUACCAAAAGGCUUACUGAAAGUUAGUGGGUCCUGUGCUUUGCUUGCUAAUGCUCUGGACUUUAAGAUUCAGGAUUCUUGGUGUGUUUCACAAUGGCCUAGCUCCUGAAAUCAAGGCAUUUUCUUUGUUCUUCUUUCCCUCCUUUGAAGUUAUGUUUCUGUUCCUUGUAAAGAAAAGGUUGAAAACACAAAAGUGAGUAAAAAGGUUCAGAAGUAAAAAGCAAAUAUAAAUAAAUCUAGAUCUUUUUUCA